This 251-nucleotide ribosomal RNA is filed under the name uncultured prokaryote. RNAcentral's name for it is "partial 16S rRNA". It matches the Rfam family "Bacterial small subunit ribosomal RNA", at positions 525 to 775 of the family's 1533-position model. The record is from RNAcentral.
ACGGGGGGAGCGAGCGUUGUUCGGAUUUAUUGGGCGUGAAGGGCGCGUAGGUGGGUCUUCAAGUCAAAUGUGAAAACCGACGGCUUAACCAUCAGCCUGCAUUUGAUACUGUCGAGCUGGAGUACGGGAGAGGAUAGGGGAAUUCCUGGUGUGGCGGUGAAAUGCGCAGAGAUCAGGAAGACCAGCGGUGGCGAAGGCGGGGCGAUGGGACGGUACUGAAUCUGCGUCGCUGUAGCGUGGGGAGCUAGUAG